This 68-nucleotide transfer RNA is filed under the name Marmota monax (woodchuck). Its description in RNAcentral is "tRNA.Ala". The stretch from base 6 to 61 matches the Rfam family "tRNA", at positions 9 to 63 of the family's 71-position model. From Rfam's summary of the family: Transfer RNA (tRNA) molecules are approximately 80 nucleotides in length. Their secondary structure includes four short double-helical elements and three loops (D, anti-codon, and T loops). The record is from RNAcentral. Lineage: Eukaryota; Metazoa; Chordata; Mammalia; Rodentia; Sciuridae.
GUUGGGGCUCAGUGGUAGAGUGCUUGCCUAGCAUGUAUGAGGCACUGGGUUCGAUCCCCAGCGCCACA